RNAcentral lists this ribosomal RNA (468 nucleotides) under uncultured bacterium. RNAcentral describes it as "partial 16S ribosomal RNA". It matches the Rfam family "Bacterial small subunit ribosomal RNA", at positions 29 to 507 of the family's 1533-position model. The record is from RNAcentral.
ACGCACGCUGGCGGCGUGCUUCACACAUGCCAGUCGAACGGAAAGGCCCUGCUUGCAGGGUGCUCGAGUGGCGAACGGGUGAGUAACACGUGGGUGAUCUGCCCCUUACUUUGGGAUAAGCCUGGGAAACUGGGUCUAAUACUGGAUAGGACCAUGCUGUAGGUGGUGUGGUGGAAAGAUUAGUUUCGGUAAGGGAUGAGCUCGCGGCCUAUCAGCUUGUUGGUGGGGUAAUGGCCUACCAAGGCGUCGACGGGUAGCCGGCCUGAGAGGGUGGACGGCCACAUUGGGACUGGGAAAAGGGCCAGACUCCUUCGGGAGGCAGGAGGUGGGAAUAUUGCACAAUGGGGGGAAGCCUGAUGGAGGGACGGCGCGGGGGGGAUGACGGCCUUCGGGUUGUAAACUCCUUUCAGCCAUGACGAAGCCCUUGUGGUGACGGUAGUGGUAGAAGAAGCACCGGCUAACUACGUG